AGUGAACGCUGACGGUAGGCCUAACACAUGCAAGUCGAACGGCAGCACAGUAAGAGCUUGCUCUUACGGGUGGCGAGUGGCGGACGGGUGAGGAAUACAUCGGAAUCUACUUUUUCGUGGGGGAUAACGUAGGGAAACUUACGCUAAUACCGCAUACGACCUACGGGUGAAAGCAGUGGAUCUUCGGACCUUGCGCGAUUGAAUGAGCCGAUGUCGGAUUAGCUAGUUGGCGGGGUAAAGGCCCACCAAGGCGACGAUCCGUAGCUGGUCUGAGAGGAUGAUCAGCCACACUGGAACUGAGACACGGUCCAGACUCCUACGGGAGGCAGCAGUGGGGAAUAUUGGACAAUGGGCGCAAGCCUGAUCCAGCCAUACCGCGUGGGUGAAGAAGGCCUUCGGGUUGUAAAGCCCUUUUGUUGGGAAAGAAAAGCAGCAGGUUAAUACCCCGCUGUUCUGACGGUACCCAAAGAAUAAGCACCGGCUAACUUCGUG
This 492-nucleotide ribosomal RNA is filed under the name uncultured bacterium. RNAcentral's name for it is "partial 16S ribosomal RNA". It matches the Rfam family "Bacterial small subunit ribosomal RNA", at positions 29 to 507 of the family's 1533-position model. The record is from RNAcentral.